RNAcentral lists this ribosomal RNA (549 nucleotides) under uncultured Glomeromycotina. RNAcentral describes it as "SSU rRNA". It matches the Rfam family "Eukaryotic small subunit ribosomal RNA", at positions 548 to 1098 of the family's 1831-position model. The record is from RNAcentral. Lineage: Eukaryota; Fungi; Glomeromycota.
UUGGAGGGCAAGUCUGGUGCCAGCAGCCGCGGUAAUUCCAGCUCCAAUAGCGUAUAUUAAAGUUGUUGCAGUUAAAAAGCUCGUAGUUGAAUUUCGGGAUUAGUGCGCCGGUCGUGCCUUCGGUAUGUACUGGUGUUACUGGUUCCUACCUUCUGACGAACCGUCAUGUCAUUAAUUUGGUGUGGCGGGGAAUCAGGACUGUUACUUUGAAAAAAUUAGAGUGUUUAAAGCAGGCUCGCGCUUGAAUACAUUAGCAUGGAAUAAUGAAAUAGGACGUUCGAUCCUAUUUUGUUGGUUUCUAGGAUUGACGUAAUGAUUAAUAGGGAUAGUUGGGGACAUUAGUAUUCAAUUGUCAGAGGUGAAAUUCUUGGAUUUAUUGAAGACUAACUACUGCGAAAGCAUUUGCCAAGGAUGUUUUCAUUAAUCAAGAACGAAAGUUAGGGGAUCGAAGACGAUCAGAUACCGUCGUAGUCUUAACCAUAAACUAUGCCGACUAGGGAUCGGAUGAUGUUAAUUUUUUAAUGGCUCAUUCGGCGCCUUACGGGAAAC